RNAcentral lists this ribosomal RNA (253 nucleotides) under uncultured bacterium. Its description in RNAcentral is "partial 16S ribosomal RNA". It matches the Rfam family "Bacterial small subunit ribosomal RNA", at positions 524 to 776 of the family's 1533-position model. The record is from RNAcentral.
UACGUAGGGUGCGAGCGUUAAUCGGAAUUACUGGGCGUAAAGCGUGCGUAGGCGGUUCGUAAAGUCUGAUGUGAAAGCCCCGGGCUCAACCUGGGAACUGCAUUGGAAACUAGCGAGCUCGAGUGUGGCAGAGGGGGGUGGAAUUCCACGUGUAGCAGUGAAAUGCGUAGAGAUGUGGAGGAACACCGAUGGCGAAGGCAGCCCCCUGGGCUAACACUGACGCUCAGGCACGAAAGCGUGGGGAGCAAACAGG